RNAcentral lists this long non-coding RNA (487 nucleotides) under Junco hyemalis (dark-eyed junco). RNAcentral describes it as "lncRNA (ENSJHYG00000016117.1)". Lineage: Eukaryota; Metazoa; Chordata; Aves; Passeriformes; Passerellidae. The record is from RNAcentral.
UAUAGUUGAGCACUGAGACCUGGGCUGGGAAGCCCCACUAAGCAGUUCCUUCCUCUAUAAAACAGACACAGAAGAGGAAUUUGAUCCAGAUCCCUCCUGCACAUUCCACCACACACCUUGGGUCUGAGCUCCAAACCACUGAGGGCAGCUGGAUGACUCCACUGCAGUUCAGGAACAAAACCUUGGAUCACCUGAGGACUGAGCUUUACCUACCAGGCAUCAUCUCAAGGCAGAUGAUUGCAAGAGCUUUGAUACUUUAGCUGAAGCACAGAACUGAGUUAACAUGUCUGCAGGACUUCGAAAUUAGAGCUGGCUGGUGUCCAGGCACUUGCAAGCAGGAGCAGAGGAGCCUCAGGGACCCGCAGCAUCUGCUGGCUUUGUUUUGGAAUUCUGCCUGUGCCCCAUUGGAGUCACUGUGUCAAGAGAAGAAUGUGAGGGAGUCCUGUGGGCCUGCAGUGCAGGAACAGCAGGAACAUCCCAGCUGAAG